Molecule: long non-coding RNA, 405 nt
Organism: Lutra lutra (Eurasian river otter)
Lineage: Eukaryota; Metazoa; Chordata; Mammalia; Carnivora; Mustelidae
Exons: 4
Source: RefSeq, a predicted model, not a curated record
GGUACCAAAGAAAAUAAUACAGACAAGAAGGCAAAGAGAUAAAGAAGGAAAAACAUACAACCAGAGUUCAAAGGAUCAUAGUGGAAGAAGGAGAAUGGAACAGAAGAAAAAAAUGGACCAAGGCGUCUUUCCAUUGCUGACAUUCUUUUCCUAAGGGCAUGACGCACACCUUGUCUCUUCUCAACUUCACAAAGAGCAUAACUGUCUAAAUCCAAGGACAGAAUUUUAAAUACCAGCACAGAUCAAUUUAAAACAGAUUCUCUCUUAAGCUUUACCUCAGGAUGAUGUCCAAUUUCAACGUAGGUGCAAAUUGGAUGAAAAGCCCCCGUUCCACAGGCAUACAAUCUUACAGGAAUGCUGUGAGGUGGUUGUCAUGCCAAACACCCUUCAUGAAAAUCAGAACAG